Molecule: unclassified non-coding RNA, 626 nt
Filed under: Hevea brasiliensis (rubber tree)
Lineage: Eukaryota; Viridiplantae; Streptophyta; Magnoliopsida; Malpighiales; Euphorbiaceae
Source: RNAcentral
UUGUUCUCCUUUUUUAGCAAGCUGGUUAAGAAGAAAACUAUCCAAGUGAACAUUAAAAUACUUUGCAAAAUAAUUCAAGUUUAGCAUACAUAGCAGCCACAAUUAUAGAGAAAAAAAAAGUUGAUAAGUGUAAAAAAUUAAAUUAAAGUAUUUAACAGCAUGUUGCCAAAUCCUAAUAGAAAACUAGAGACUCAAAAACACCUUUGGUUCCUGCAAAAACGGCAUAACAUUCAGAUGGAGAAGUGAAAUGAUUUGGAGCAACAAGGAAAACUUAUAAAAUGCAGAAAAACAGUAAUGAAACAGGAGAAGUGCAGAACUAAUAGUUCCUAAACCACGAAGACGACUUACAUUCACAUCAAAAUUCUCUUAAUGCUUUAAUCAUUUCAUAUUAAAUCCAUAUGGUAUUCACAAGUUUAGAUACUAUGGCAGCUUAUAUGGCUAUAAGCAUCAGAACUAAUCACAGAAAAAUUAAUUGGUUAGAAAACUUAACAUAUCAACAAAAGAUAGCACCAAAAAGAGUGCGAGCAAGUAAUGUUUAUAUGCAUUAUACAUGAAGACAAGCAAAAUUUAAAAAGAGCAUACAAAAAGUACGAAGAUAAAAGAUACCUGCUCGAUAUUGUAUCCAG